GGGCCCGCACAAGCGGUGGAGCAUGUGGUUCAAUUCGACGCAACGCGAAGAACCUUACCUGGGCUCGAAGCGCAGUGGACCGGGGUGGAAACAUCCCUUUCCGCAAGGACUGCUGCGGAGGUGCUGCAUGGCUGUCGUCAGCUCGUGUCGUGAGAUGUUGGGUUAAGUCCCGCAACGAGCGCAACCCUUAUCCCUAGUUGCCAGCGAGUAAUGUCGGGCACUCUAGUGAAACCGCCCCGGAUAACGGGGAGGAAGGUGGGGAUGACGUCAAGUCCUCAUGGCCUUUAUGUCCAGGGCUACACACGUGCUACAAUGGUCGGUACAAACCGUCGCAAACCUGCGAAGGGGAGCUAAUCGGAAAAAGCCGGCCUCAGUUCGGAUUGGAGUCUGCAAUUCGACUCCAUGAAGCUGGAAUCGCUAGUAAUCGCGGAUCAGAACGCCGCGGUGAAUACGUUCCCGGGCCUU
This 465-nucleotide ribosomal RNA is filed under the name uncultured bacterium. RNAcentral describes it as "bacterial SSU rRNA". It matches the Rfam family "Bacterial small subunit ribosomal RNA", at positions 917 to 1382 of the family's 1533-position model. The record is from RNAcentral.